Molecule: ribosomal RNA, 393 nt
Filed under: uncultured bacterium
Lineage: Bacteria
Description: bacterial SSU rRNA
Rfam family: Bacterial small subunit ribosomal RNA
Source: RNAcentral
GACGAACGCUGGCGGCGUGCUUAACACAUGCAAGUCGAGCGGUAAGGCCCCUUCGGGGGUACACGAGCGGCGAACGGGUGAGUAACACGUGAGCAACCUACCCUCAACUUCGGGAUAAGCCUCGGAAACGGGGUCUAAUACCGGAUAUCAUCUCCUGCUUCAUGGCAGGGGGUUGAAAGUUCUGGCGGUUGGGGAUGGGCUCGCGGCCUAUCAGCUUGUUGGUGGGGUAAUGGCCUACCAAGGCGUCGACGGGUAGCCGGCCUGAGAGGGCGACCGGCCACACUGGGACUGAGACACGGCCCAGACUCCUACGGGAGGCAGCAGUGGGGAAUAUUGCGCAAUGGACGAAAGUCUGACGCAGCAACGCCGCGUGAGGGAUGACGGCCUUCGGUU